RNAcentral lists this ribosomal RNA (292 nucleotides) under uncultured bacterium. Its description in RNAcentral is "partial 16S ribosomal RNA". The record is from RNAcentral.
GGACUACUGGGGUUUCUAAUCCUGUUUGCUCCCCACGCUUUCGUGUCUCAGCGUCAGUAUCUGUCCAGUUGGCCGCCUUCGCCACCGGUGUUCCUCUCGAUAUCUACGAAUUUCACCUCUACACCGAGAAUUCCACCAACCUCUCCAGUACUCAAGCCACGCAGUAUCAAGUGCACUUCCAGGGUUGAGCCCUGGGCUUUCACACCUGACUUAUGUGGCCGCCUACACACGCUUUACGCCCAGUAAUUCCGAACAACGUUUGCACCCUCUGUCUUACCGCGGCUGCUGGCAC